ACCUGCGGAAGGAUCAUUGUCGUGACCCUAACAAAAAUAGACUGUGAAUAUGUCAUCCAAGCCGUCGGGUGACGGUGCUAGCACCGUCUCUCGGCAUAGGCCACUUCCCUUCUGACGGAGGGGAUGUGGCCCAAAAGAACCCACGGCGUCGUAUGGCGUCAAGGAACACUAUGUUGCAUGCUCAGGGCCACGAUCGGCGUGCUGAACGAGCCCUGCGCUGCUAUGCUACCUGAAUGUAUAAGACUCUCGGCAACGGAUAUCUUGGCUCUUGCAUCGAUGAAGAACGUAGCAAAAUGCGAUACCUGGUGUGAAUUGCAGAAUCCCGUGAACCAUCGAGUUUUUGAACGCAAGUUGCGCCUGAGGCCUCUUGGUUGAGGGCACGUCUGCCUGGGCGUCACGCCAAAAGGCACUCCCUUGCAAUCCUUGCGUGGGAUGUGGUGUUUGGCCUUCCAUUCUACUUAUAAGGUGUGGUAGGCUAAAGGAUGUGGCUGCUGGCUAUGGUGCCAGUCACAGCACUUGGUGGAUGACACAUGUUGUUCUCGAAGUUGUGACUUGUACUGAAUCCGGUAACAUUGGCCCUUUGGACCCAUGGAUCGAUUGCUUGCACCGCGACCCCAGGUCAGUCGGGAUUACCCGCUGAAUUUAAGCAUAUCAAUAAG
RNAcentral lists this ribosomal RNA (659 nucleotides) under Sporobolus hookerianus (alkali cordgrass). RNAcentral describes it as "eukaryotic LSU rRNA". The stretch from base 242 to 397 matches the Rfam family "5.8S ribosomal RNA". RNAcentral also lists the same sequence under 1 other name. Lineage: Eukaryota; Viridiplantae; Streptophyta; Magnoliopsida; Poales; Poaceae. The record is from RNAcentral.